This 500-nucleotide ribosomal RNA is filed under the name uncultured bacterium. RNAcentral's name for it is "partial 16S ribosomal RNA". It matches the Rfam family "Bacterial small subunit ribosomal RNA", at positions 30 to 523 of the family's 1533-position model. The record is from RNAcentral.
AUUGAACGCUGGCGGCAUGCUUUACACAUGCAAGUCGAACUGUAACAGGGUGCUUGCACCGCUGACGAGUGGCGAACGGGUGAGUAAUGCGUCGGAACGUGCCGAGUAGUGGGGGAUAACGCAGCGAAAGUUGUUCUAAUACCGCAUACGUACUGAGGUAGAAGGUGGGGGACCUUCGGGCCUCACGCUAUUCGCGCCGCCGGCGUCUGAUUAGCUAGUAGGUGAGGUAAAGGCUCACCUAGGCGACGAUCAGUAGCGGGGCUGAGAGGAUGAUCCGCGACACUGGGACUGAGACACGGCCCAGACUCCUACGGGAGGCAGCAGUGGGGAAUCUUGGACAAUGGGCGAAAGCCUGAUCCAGCCAUGCCGCGUGUCUGAAGAAGGCCUUCGGGUUGUAAAGGACUUUUGUCAGGGAGGAAAUACCUAGUGCUAAUAACACUGGGGGAUGACAGUACCUGAAGAGUAAGCACCGGCUAACUACGUGCCAGCAGCCGCCGUAA